CUCAAAGCCAUUCCGUGUUUGAUGGGCGGACAACACCGUCAGUUCUAAUCCCCCGCUAACCCACCCAGAUCAAAUAAAAUUCCCCGUGACGUCGCCAUCCCAUCGCCGCCGCAGCCCUGCCGGCGUCGCCGCCCUACAGCCCCUCCUCCUCAUCCCUCCCAGGCGACCAUACAAGCCCUCUGAGGUGUCCGCUGCCAUCUGAGGUCCUCGCGUGGUGCCUUCAACCGCUGCAGGAGCAGUUCAUCAUUCAUGAGUUCGAGCUCUAGAUGAUCUGAGUCGUCGGCGAACCUCCAUGUUUUAUCUUCCAUCCUUCCCUUCCACCCGGCGAAGUAGUGCUGCUCGAUCCCCAGUUCCCCACCCGUCCCCCCUCCAUCCCAGUGCUCCGUAAAAGACAGAUCCGCGGAGAUUGCCGAGACGGUUGCAAAUGCGGGCUUUGGAGAUAGAUCAACACUGCGUAUUUGCUUCCUGGAUGAAGAUGCUCCGUGAAAUUGCCGGAAGCUUAGACAUAAGAGAUUCGUUUCAAUUAUACUACGAGACUACCAUCCAGAAAUCGGAAACUCUAUAUUUUAUUUGAACAGCACAACCCUCUUUUAUUUGAACAACAGAGUCAUUACUCAUCCAUGCAUUUUUCAUCUUUUGCAGCUUAGGCUUCAGCUAUUUCGAUCAACAGAUGUGGAGGCGUGUCCUGCUGUGUGCUCUGGAGUCGCAAGGUUCGGGCUCAUCUCAUUGAUGUUCUAUUCUUCUUUCAACAGAGAGAUUCCCUAGCUUAAUUUAUCCCUUCAGGUAGAUUAUGUGCUCCCUAUACCUGAGAACACUUCUAUAUUAGGUAUCCAGGAUGAACUCACCCAAAUCCGUUUAGACUAGAUGAUUCAGUGGUUAUGAAUUUCCGCAAAGCAUAGUUUAAUCUGGCUCUAAUGCAUAUUGUUUUUGAAAGACAUUGUUUCUAUGUUCAUAUUCUGACAAAUUAGUGGUUCGCGUGGA
This is a long non-coding RNA of Lolium perenne, 981 nucleotides long. RefSeq lists it as uncharacterized. NCBI's taxonomy places the organism in Eukaryota, Viridiplantae, Streptophyta, Magnoliopsida, Poales, Poaceae. The record is from RefSeq and is a predicted model, not a curated record.